AGCCCGCUCGCCGGAAGACCAAGGGUUCCUGUCCAACGUUAAUCGGGGCAGGGUGAGUCGACCCCUAAGGCGAGGCCGAAAGGCGUAGUCGAUGGGAAACAGGUUAAUAUUCCUGUACUUGGUGUUACUGCGAAGGGGGGACGGAGAAGGCUAUGUUGGCCGGGCGACGGUUGUCCCGGUUUAAGCGUGUAGGCUGGUUUUCCAGGCAAAUCCGGAAAAUCAAGGCUGAGGCGUGAUGACGAGGCACUACGGUGCUGAAGCAACAAAUGCCCUGCUUCCAGGAAAAGCCUCUAAGCAUCAGGUAACAUCAAAUCGUACCCCAAACCGACACAGGUGGUCAGGUAGAGAAUACCAAGGCGCUUGAGAGAACUCGGGUGAAGGAACUAGGCAAAAUGGUGCCGUAACUUCGGGAGAAGGCACGCUGAUAUGUAGGUGAAGCGACUUGCUCGUGGAGCUGAAAUCAGUCGAAGAUACCAGCUGGCUGCAACUGUUUAUUAAAAACACAGCACUGUGCAAACACGAAAGUGGACGUAUACGGUGUGACGCCUGCCCGGUGCCGGAAGGUUAAUUGAUGGGGUUAGCGGUAACGCGAAGCUCUUGAUCGAAGCCCCGGUAAACGGCGGCCGUAACUAUAACGGUCCUAAGGUAGCGAAAUUCCUUGUCGGGUAAGUUCCGACCUGCACGAAUGGCGUAAUGAUGGCCAGGCUGUCUCCACCCGAGACUCAGUGAAAUUGAACUCGCUGUGAAGAUGCAGUGUACCCGCGGCAAGACGGAAAGACCCCGUGAACCUUUACUAUAGCUUGACACUGAACAUUGAGCCUUGAUGUGUAGGAUAGGUGGGAGGCUUUGAAGUGUGGACGCCAGUCUGCAUGGAGCCGACCUUGAAAUACCACCCUUUAAUGUUUGAUGUUCUAACGUUGGCCCGUUAUCCGGGUUGCGGACAGUGUCUGGUGGGUAGUUUGACUGGGGCGGUCUCCUCCUAAAGAGUAACGGAGGAGCACGAAGGUUGGCUAAUCCUGGUCGGACAUCAGGAGGUUAGUGCAAUGGCAUAAGCCAGCUUGACUGCGAGCGUGACGGCGCGAGCAGGUGCGAAAGCAGGUCAUAGUGAUCCGGUGGUUCUGAAUGGAAGGGCCAUCGCUCAACGGAUAAAAGGUACUCCGGGGAUAACAGGCUGAUACCGCCCAAGAGUUCAUAUCGACGGCGGUGUUUGGCACCUCGAUGUCGGCUCAUCACAUCCUGGGGCUGAAGUAGGUCCCAAGGGUAUGGCUGUUCGCCAUUUAAAGUGGUACGCGAGCUGGGUUUAGAACGUCGUGAGACAGUUCGGUCCCUAUCUGCCGUGGGCGCUGGAGAACUGAGGGGGGCUGCUCCUAGUACGAGAGGACCGGAGUGGACGCAUCACUGGUGUUCGGGUUGUCAUGCCAAUGGCACUGCCCGGUAGCUAAAUGCGGAAGAGAUAAGUGCUGAAAGCAUCUAAGCACGAAACUUGCCCCGAGAUGAGUUCUCCCUGACUCCCUGAGAGUCCUGAAGGAACGUUGAAGACGACGACGUUGAUAGGCCGGGUGUGUAAGCGCAGCGAUGCGUUGAGCUAACCGGUACUAAUGAACCGUGAGGCUUAACC
RNAcentral lists this ribosomal RNA (1618 nucleotides) under Escherichia coli. Its description in RNAcentral is "bacterial LSU rRNA". It matches the Rfam family "Bacterial large subunit ribosomal RNA", at positions 1327 to 2925 of the family's 2925-position model. The record is from RNAcentral. Lineage: Bacteria; Pseudomonadati; Pseudomonadota; Gammaproteobacteria; Enterobacterales; Enterobacteriaceae.